CAGCCGUAAACUAUGCGCGUUAGGUGUACUGGUGACCACGAGUCACCGGGGUGCCGAAGGGAAACCGUGAAACGUGCCGCCUGGGAAGUACGGUCGCAAGGCUGAAACUUAAAGGAAUUGGCGGGGGAGCACCACAACGGGUGGAGCUUGCGGUUUAAUUGGAUUCAACGCCGGAAAUCUUACCGGGACCGACAGCAACAUGAAGGCCAAGCUGAAGACUUUGCCGGAUUAGCUGAGAGGAGGUGCAUGGCGUAGUCGUGU
RNAcentral lists this ribosomal RNA (261 nucleotides) under uncultured archaeon. Its description in RNAcentral is "partial 16S ribosomal RNA". It matches the Rfam family "Archaeal small subunit ribosomal RNA", at positions 748 to 1009 of the family's 1478-position model. The record is from RNAcentral.